UACGUAGGUGGCAAGCGUUGUCCGGAAUUACUGGGCGUAAAGGGCGUGUAGGCGGCAAUCUAAGUCAGACGUGAAAGAUCAGGGCUUAACCUUGGGACUGCGUUUGAAACUGGAUGGCUAGAGGAUCGGAGAGGGCAGUGGAAUUCCCAGUGUAGCGGUGAAAUGCGUAGAUAUUGGGAGGAACACCAGUGGCGAAGGCGACUGCCUGGACGACACCUGACGCUGAGGCGCGAAAGCUAGGGGAGCAAACGGG
RNAcentral lists this ribosomal RNA (253 nucleotides) under uncultured bacterium. RNAcentral describes it as "partial 16S ribosomal RNA". It matches the Rfam family "Bacterial small subunit ribosomal RNA", at positions 524 to 776 of the family's 1533-position model. The record is from RNAcentral.